AGACCGAUAGCGAACAAGUAGAGUGAUCGAAAGAUGAAAAGCACUUUGAAAAGAGAGUUAAACAGCACGUGAAAUUGUUGAAAGGGAAGCGCUUUCGACCAGUCUCGCCCCCGUGGUUCUGCCGGCAUUCGUGCCGGUGUUCUUUCCCGCGGGCGGGCCAGCGUCGGUUUGGGCGGCCGGUCAAAGGCCCUCGGAAUGUUGCGCCCCCCGGGGCGUCUUAUAGCCGAGGGUGCCAUUCGGCCACCC
This 246-nucleotide ribosomal RNA is filed under the name Penicillium sp. BAB-1126. RNAcentral describes it as "partial 28S ribosomal RNA". It matches the Rfam family "Eukaryotic large subunit ribosomal RNA", at positions 331 to 584 of the family's 3401-position model. The record is from RNAcentral. Lineage: Eukaryota; Fungi; Ascomycota; Eurotiomycetes; Eurotiales; Aspergillaceae.